GGGGCGGGAGUUUGCAUGAGAGGAAGGAGGGUGCUGAGAGAUGGGAAAAAGCUUGCCCCCUUCUUUCUUGCUUUCCUCAGAGAGGCUACUGGGCUUUCUUGCCUUUCUCAGAGAGGCUCCCGGGAGCCUCUCUGAGAAUCACUGACCGUGGGAGACUUGCCGUGGUGGAGGGAGACCUCGGGCCUUUCCAGGGACCCUCAGGAUGCUGAGGUUUUCCUCGCCUUUGCCAAGUUCUGCUCCAAUUCCCAUCUAGAAUAGACUCCCUAUCUGAAAAGGUUCUGUUGUAUCUCCCUUAGGAGCCUUGGGGGCGCAGGAGAGGCUGGAGCAGGAAUGUUGAGGCCAAGUGCCCUUUUGAGUUGAGGGCACAGGAGGCUACAGAAAAGGAACUCAAUUCAGAUGGAAAACUACUCCUGGAGAAGAACUGUAGGGUGCUUGGGUGAGUGUCAGAGGUGAGGGCAGCCCAUAGACUCAGAUGCUCAGAGCUGGGAGGGAAUACGGAGAUGAUCAAAUCCAUCCCCCAACCCAUUACACAAGUGGCAAACAAGGCUGAGGCAUCGACCCCUGAUAGAAGCUUGUGCCCACCCUGAGGGGAGGGUGUGGGGAGGAUGGCGUUUGACAAACUACGCCAUUCCCUUUCUACCGCUCUGGGAACUCACAGCCACUGACAGCCCAGAGGCUGCGUUCGUGCAGGGAUGGGGCAGCCACAUGCCUGACAGAGCCCUUAAAUAUACCAAGGUCCAGAGUCAGCCAGGCCAAGCAUUUGGGGGUCUUGGGCCACUGUGAUCGCACGUAAAUGGUCAGGGGUCUUCCUAGCCAGGGACACCCCCAAGCCAUGCCAAGCCCUUCCCUGGCUUUGCCCAACAAUAGAUGGUUCUGGUCCCCGCGUCUGGCUCCCGAGGUCCUGCUGCACUUGUGCCAACGCUGUGCUGAGGACUGCCAGCCCCAGGGUGGGGGGUGAGCCUGGGUGUGGCUGAGCUGUGCCAGUCUGUGCCCUGCCAGCCACUCUCUGCCCUCCUGAGAGACAGCUGUAGCUGGAAGAGUCUGCUUCUUAGGAGACUCUGAGCUGGAAUGGGGGCCAAGAGGCUCGGGUGAGGAUGGGGGCGGGGCUCAGCCCUGGGCUGCCGCCACUGCUAACCCUGAGUGGCGCUGUCCUUUCCUGGAGGGACAGAAGCUGCUGGUGCCUGGCUGCAAGGCAGGGGCUUCCCCUCCAGACCCUGGCACCUGAGAGCUCUGGGAUGUGGGUGGAGGAGGCAGAGAGGGGCCUUCUUGUUUGGUGCGGCCUGGAGAGGGGCAAGAAGACUGUGAACCAGAAGAGUCUAGAAAGCCCUCAGAGAAGUACCCAGUUCCUUCAGAGUUUGAAGCCUGUUACCGAGAUGGACUGCCUGAGGCGGAGGUCCUUCCUCCCAUCCUGUUAAGUCUGCCCUGCAAGGUCUGGGAUGCGCUGAGGGAGCCUCGUCCACACCUCAGGCCUCCAGCCCCAGCUGCUCCCUGUCCAAAAACAGCCCUGAAGUUCUUUGCUGUGCUCAGCGCCCACCUGCACCGCCUCUCCCGACCAUCGCUCCAAGCAAGACUGCCCAGUGAUGACGGCAGUCACUCCACACCACUCAGGUCUCCAACCCAGGGCCGGGAGACAGCUGUCCGGUAAGAAGGCUUUACUUUUGGAGUCUGGCUUUUUCCCCGGCAAGUCCCUCUGUUCCCGAGCUCCCAGCACCUGCCAGCAGCACGUCCCCGUCGUCCUCCGUCCUCCCUCCUCUAGUAUGGCCACCUGGCCAGGGUGCUGGGAAGCAGAGGGUAGAGUGAAUCUUCAGGCUGUGGAGGCCAGUUGCCUUUCAUCCGCAGGCUCCAGAGAUUGAAAGCUGAGCUUCCCCAAACAGCAGCCCUAGACUCACUCCCUCCCUCCCUAAAUGCAAGAGGAAUCAUGGAAACUGGGGAAAGGAAAACAAACCUUCAGAGGAGAAAUUUCGUUUUAAUGACACCAUUCAUCAUUCAUUUUUUAAUUAGGAAAAGCUCCCUAAUGAGCCGCUUUUGACAGCUAAUGGGAUUCUCAACUUCCAUGAGGAUCAUUCUUGCCCAGAGGAUUAGGGGAGUUGCUGCUCGCCAAGCCUGGAUCUUCUUUCCCCAGUGUCCAAUUUAGUUUGCAAAUAAUGAUGAUUCCCGGGUGCAGUGGAAACCCUUUCCUGACAUCAUUCAUGUUGCUCCCAGUGCUGGCUGGAAAGCUCUGAAACUCCUCUGCCUUAAAAAACUGCCCAACACUGAUCUUCCUCUGCCCAGGACUUGAGUAAGUGGAAACAAAAAACACAAGCUGCAAUGUUUGUUUCGAAAUAUUUUUAUAUUGUGUAUAUUGUGUAUAUUUUUGUUGUAACAUAUUAUUUGAGCACAGAUUCCAUUAAAGAUUUUUUUUUUUUUCUUU
Molecule: long non-coding RNA, 2410 nt
Filed under: Phocoena sinus (vaquita)
Lineage: Eukaryota; Metazoa; Chordata; Mammalia; Artiodactyla; Phocoenidae
Description: lncRNA (ENSPSNG00000022174.1)
Source: RNAcentral